Molecule: transfer RNA, 74 nt
Filed under: Vulcanimicrobiota bacterium
Lineage: Bacteria; Bacillati; Vulcanimicrobiota
Description: tRNA-Gln
Rfam family: tRNA
About the family: Transfer RNA (tRNA) molecules are approximately 80 nucleotides in length. Their secondary structure includes four short double-helical elements and three loops (D, anti-codon, and T loops).
Source: RNAcentral
UCCCGGUUCGUCUAACGGUAAGACGCAGGCCUCUGAAGCCUGUUAUUGGAGUUCGAAUCUCUGACCGGGAGCCA